GAUGAACGCUGGCGGCGUGUCUAAUACAUGCAAGUCGAGCGGUAAGGCCCCUUCGGGGGUACACGAGCGGCGGACGGCUGAGUAACACGUGGGAACGUACCCCAAAGUGAGGGAUAAGCACCAGAAAUGGUGUCUAAUACCGCAUGUGAUCUUCGGAUUAAAGCUUCGGCGCUUUUGGAACGGCCUGCGUCCGAUUAGCUAGUUGGUAGUGUAAAAGACUACCAAGGCGACGAUCGGUAGCUGGUCUGAGAGGAUGAUCAGCCAGACUGGGACUGAGACACGGCCCAGACUCCUACGGGAGGCAGCAGUAGGGAAUUUUCCACAAUGGGCGAAAGCCUGAUGGAGCAACGCCGCGUGCAGGAUGAAUGCCUUCGGGUUGUAAACUGCUUUUAUGUGUGACGAUUAUGACGGUAACACAUGAAUAAGGACCUGCUAACUACGUGCCAGCAGCCGCAGUAA
Molecule: ribosomal RNA, 459 nt
Filed under: uncultured bacterium
Lineage: Bacteria
Description: partial 16S ribosomal RNA
Rfam family: Bacterial small subunit ribosomal RNA
Source: RNAcentral